This 448-nucleotide ribosomal RNA is filed under the name uncultured bacterium. Its description in RNAcentral is "bacterial SSU rRNA". It matches the Rfam family "Bacterial small subunit ribosomal RNA", at positions 329 to 793 of the family's 1533-position model. The record is from RNAcentral.
CCCCAGACUCCUACGGGAGGCAGCAGUGGGGGAUAUUGCACAAUGGGGGGAACCCUGAUGCAGCGACGCCGCGUGGGUGAAGGAGUAUUUCGGUAUGUAAAGCCCUAUCGGCAGGGAAGAAGCAAGACGGUACCUGACUAAGAAGCCCCGGCUAACUACGUGCCAGCAGCCGCGGGAAUACGUAGGGGGCGAGCGUUAUCCGGAUUCACUGGGUGUAAAGGGAGCGUAGACGGCCAUGCAAGCCAGGGGUGAAAGCCCGCGGCCCAACCGCGGGACUGCAUUGGGAACUACCGGGCUGGAGUGCCGGAGAGGUAGGCGGAAUUCCUAGUGUAGCGGUGAAAUGCGUAGAUAUCAGGAGGAACACCGGCGGCGAAGGCGGCCUGCUGGACCGUGACUGACGUUGAGGCUCGAGAGCGUGGGGAGCAAACAGGAUUAGAUACCCGCGUAA